GGUUAAUACCCUGAGUAGAUGACGGUACCCGAAUAAGAAGCACCGGCUAACUACGUGCCAGCAGCCGCGGUAAUACGUAGGGUGCGAGCGUUAAUCGGAAUUACUGGGCGUAAAGCGUGCGCAGGCGGUUUUGUAAGUCAGAUGUGAAAUCCCCGGGCUCAACCUGGGAACUGCAUUUGAGACUGCAAGACUGGAGUUUGGCAGAGGGGGGUGGAAUUCCACGUGUAGCAGUGAAAUGCGUAGAGAUGUGGAGGAACACCGAUGGCGAAGGCAGCCCCCUGGGCCAAUACUGACGCUCAUGCACGAAAGCGUGGGGAGCAAACAGGAUUAGAUACCCUGGUAGUCCACGCCCUAAACGAUGUCAACUAGGUGUUGGGAGGGUUAAACCUUUUAGUGCCGUAGCUAAC
Molecule: ribosomal RNA, 407 nt
Filed under: uncultured bacterium
Lineage: Bacteria
Description: bacterial SSU rRNA
Rfam family: Bacterial small subunit ribosomal RNA
Source: RNAcentral